RNAcentral lists this ribosomal RNA (373 nucleotides) under uncultured bacterium. RNAcentral describes it as "bacterial SSU rRNA". It matches the Rfam family "Bacterial small subunit ribosomal RNA", at positions 525 to 896 of the family's 1533-position model. The record is from RNAcentral.
ACAGAGACUGCAAGCGUUAUUCGGAUUCACUGGGCGUAAAGGGUGCGCAGGCGGCCACGUGUGUUAGAUGUGAAAUCCCGGGGCUCAACCCCGGAACUGCGUCUAAAACUACUAGGCUAGAGCAUUGGAGAGGGUAGCGGAAUUCACGGUGUAGCAGUGAAAUGCGUAGAUAUCGUGAGGAACACCAGAGGCGAAGGCGGCUACCUGGACAAUUGCUGACGCUCAGGCACGAAAGCGUGGGGAGCAAAAGGGAUUAGAUACCCCUGUAGUCCACGACCUAAACGGUGCACACUAGGUCUUGGCGGAUUCGACCCCACCAGGGCCCAAGCUAACGCGUUAAGUGUGCCGCCUGAGGACUACGGCCGCAAGGCUA